This 94-nucleotide ribosomal RNA is filed under the name Cirrhaea dependens. Its description in RNAcentral is "5.8S ribosomal RNA". It matches the Rfam family "5.8S ribosomal RNA", at positions 1 to 89 of the family's 154-position model. Rfam says of the family: 5.8S ribosomal RNA (5.8S rRNA) is a component of the large subunit of the eukaryotic ribosome. It is transcribed by RNA polymerase I as part of the 45S precursor that also contains 18S and 28S rRNA. The record is from RNAcentral. Lineage: Eukaryota; Viridiplantae; Streptophyta; Magnoliopsida; Asparagales; Orchidaceae.
GACACGACUCUCGGCAAUGGAUCUUUUGGUUCUCACAUCGAUGAAGAGCGCAUCGAAAUGCGAUACGUGGUGCGAAUUGCAGAAUCCCGCGAAC